Molecule: non-coding RNA, 1291 nt
Organism: Delphinapterus leucas (beluga whale)
Lineage: Eukaryota; Metazoa; Chordata; Mammalia; Artiodactyla; Monodontidae
Source: RefSeq, a predicted model, not a curated record
UUUUGAAAAAUAAUUUAAAUUAUAAUUAAAAAUGAACCAAAGGUACAUAGAGAAGGUGUGGACCACACAUAUGUGGCUGAAAGCUGACCCUCAGUCAUCUUAAAUGGAUUUUAUCAAAAGGGAUGCCUAAGAGACCGCAGGAUCCCAACAAGAGAGUCUGUGAAGAGAUGGCCUGCUGAGACCCAAAUCACAGUGAAGUACCCUUGAGAGAUGCCUGCUAAUGAAUGGGGAGAGGAGUAAAUAGUCUGAAGAACCCUACAAGGAAAUGAAACACCCUGCAAGGGAGAAAGACCAAGAGUCAGCUUUGACACCUCCCAAACCAGACAGCAGUCAAUGAUGGCAGCUCACAAAAGUACAAGCAUGCAGGAGCUUUGCUAUACCCUCACAUCUCCUCUCUCCACCAUCUUAAAACCUGGUGUGGUCAGAAACAGUGCCAAUCAACAUUUGAGGAGAGGAAGAAGACAAGUUGGGAAAAUAGAGUAUCUAUCCAAGUCAUACUGUAUACUACAGGGCUGCCUUCUGUUGCAUGGUUGAUUAGGCUACAGCACAACUGAAGAGGGAGAAGCCAUCUUGCCUCCAUGAUUGGACAAACAUGAAGAUAAAAGCUUCCCUGUGUGGAUGAUAGAGCAAAAUGAUAGAAGGGGCUCAGACUCCCUUCCUUCAGACUUCUUGAUAUAUCUUCAAAGAUGUCCAAUACUUCUGCUGUAGCAACACAGUGCUUCAUGGAAUCCUACAGUGAUUGUAUCUACGAAUUCACUGCACAAGCAUUUUAAGAAAUGUCCAAUUGUGCUUCAUCAACUUGCAGCUGCAGCAGUGAGAGAAGAUGCUGCCAGGGACCAAAAAACAGUCAGUAAACAAAACAGAAGCCCAGAAUGAUGACACCAGUGAUCUGAUCUGUUUUUGUGUAAAGAAGAUGAGUGACUCUACUGAACAUCUGUAAUACCCAGACGCACACUGGCAUUUGGUUUCCUUUUUCCUGAUAUCAACCCACUCUCGGGGAUGCCUUCUCCUGAGGUAUUAUGCAGCUCUCAUUUUGAGGAGAAAAUAAAGAAGAGGCAAUACAUAAGAAAGUAAUGGCUGAGAAUUUACCAGAAAUGAUGAAAACAUAUAAAUCCACAAAUAUAGGAAGUAAGGUAUAUCACAGCAAAGCUAUCUUUAUAAAAAGAAGAAUGAAGAUAUUUUUCCAGCAAGAAAAUUUUUGCAACAUCAUUAGAAAGAACUUUGCUAAAGUAACUUCUAAAUAGUUACUUCAAGAGAAAAGAAAAUGAUUACUGAAGGAAAAUGAGGGGUG